Molecule: ribosomal RNA, 216 nt
Filed under: Glomeromycotina sp.
Lineage: Eukaryota; Fungi; Glomeromycota
Description: partial small subunit ribosomal RNA
Rfam family: Eukaryotic small subunit ribosomal RNA (bases 40-216)
Source: RNAcentral
GGGUCAGUAGGUUGGUCGUGCCACCGGUACGUACUGGUCUCACUGAUUCCUCCUUCUUGGAGAACCGUAAUGCCAUUAAUUUGGUGUUGCGGGGAAACAGGACUGUUACUUUGAAAAAAUUAGAGUGUUUAAAGCAAGCUAACGCUUGAAUACAUUAGCAUGGAAUAAUGAAAUAGGACGAUCGAUCCUAUUUUGUUGGUUUCUAGGAUUGACGUA